Acanthosepion pharaonis is the source of this 85-nucleotide non-coding RNA. The record is from the annotation of a GenBank genome assembly. NCBI's taxonomy places the organism in Eukaryota, Metazoa, Mollusca, Cephalopoda, Sepiida, Sepiidae.
UCCUGUACAAUCACGGAAGUUAAGCAACGUCGAUCCUGGUCAGUACCGAGAUGGGUGACUGCUUGGGAAUACCAGGUGCUGUAAA